This 486-nucleotide ribosomal RNA is filed under the name uncultured bacterium. RNAcentral describes it as "partial 16S ribosomal RNA". It matches the Rfam family "Bacterial small subunit ribosomal RNA", at positions 28 to 523 of the family's 1533-position model. The record is from RNAcentral.
GACGAACGCUGGCUGCGUGCUUAACACAUGCAAGUCGAACGCUGAAGCCAGAAGCUUGCUUCUGGUGGAUGAGUGGCGAACGGGUGAGUAACACGUGAGUAACCUGCCCCUGAUUUCGGGAUAAGCCUGGGAAACUGGGUCUAAUACCGGAUACGACCACCGAACGCAUGUUCGGUGGUGGAAAGUUUUUUCGAUCAGGGAUGGGCUCGCGGCCUAUCAGCUUGUUGGUGGGGUAAUGGCCUACCAAGGCGACGACGGGUAGCCGGCCUGAGAGGGCGACCGGCCACACUGGGACUGAGACACGGCCCAGACUCCUACGGGAGGCAGCAGUGGGGAAUAUUGCACAAUGGGGGAAACCCUGAUGCAGCGACGCAGCGUGCGGGAUGACGGCCUUCGGGUUGUAAACCGCUUUCAGCAGGGAAGAAGCGAAAGUGACGGUACCUGCAGAAGAAGUACCGGCUAACUACGUGCCAGCAGCCGCCGUAA